This is a long non-coding RNA of Hippocampus comes (tiger tail seahorse), 822 nucleotides long. RefSeq lists it as uncharacterized. The transcript has 3 exons. The record is from RefSeq and is a predicted model, not a curated record. Lineage: Eukaryota; Metazoa; Chordata; Actinopteri; Syngnathiformes; Syngnathidae.
GUGUGUGUGUGUGUUUGAUUGCGUGAAUGAGGAGCAGCUGUCACCGUUAAGCCUUUCCCGAUUGCCGAUACGCAAGUGGUCAAGGAGUGGGUCGCCUGAUAUUUUAAACAGCUGCCUCCGGCCUUUCCACCACCAGAGAAUGUCGGACUCAGGUCACUGGUCUUGCUGGCCUUUUCUGGGAGUGGGAAGACUGCGGGAGCACUCUUGCAUGUUGCGUCCAAGGUUCCCCUACACUAGGACAAAACACAAACACAGCAAAAUCCAAUGGAUGAGUCAUUUGAAUGAGUUGCCUACCCCACGCACUUUGGAACAGCUACAAUCGCACUCAGAAGCGCGCCGACCUACGCCAAGGAUUAACAAUCCUAGACUGACAUGUUCCACUCCAGGCCUGCAGGUGCAGCUUGGCCCCAAUGCAAGCGGAUGGUGAACAUCAAGAGCUGUGAUGACUAAAUGACUGUAAUUUGCUGUCAUUUGGCAUGUGUCACCACUACAAAAUGUGUCAUUGUUGUGAAGCUUUUGCAUUAACUCAGGAACAAACCAACAAAAUGUAAUUCAAUAUGUUUCAGUCUUGUGCUCCACAAAGGCAAUAAUUCCAUCCUUGAGUCAUUCGUCUGCAAGUGCACUCAAGUGACACUUUGUAGUUGUUUCAGCGGCGAUGCAUCCAUUUUCCUGAUUUGUCCAGUUUGCAUCUCAGGAUUGAUUUGUCAUUAUGUGUAUAUUGUUUUAGUGAUAUAUUUGUGCUUCAGUCAUUGUGAGCACCUUUUGGUCAUGCGCAUUCAUUAUGUACUGUAUUGAUAAAAUACUGAUAUGUAUUUAGUGAAA